CUGGCAGGCCUAACACAUGCAAGUCGAGCGGUAGCACAGAGAGCUUGCUCUCGGGUGACGAGCGGCGGACGGGUGAGUAAUGUCUGGGAAACUGCCUGAUGGAGGGGGAUAACUACUGGAAACGGUAGCUAAUACCGCAUAAUGUCGCAAGACCAAAGUGGGGGACCUUCGGGCCUCAUGCCAUCAGAUGUGCCCAGAUGGGAUUAGCUAGUAGGUGGGGUAACGGCUCACCUAGGCGACGAUCCCUAGCUGGUCUGAGAGGAUGACCAGCCACACUGGAACUGAGACACGGUCCAGACUCCUACGGGAGGCAGCAGUGGGGAAUAUUGCACAAUGGGCGCAAGCCUGAUGCAGCCAUGCCGCGUGUGUGAAGAAGGCCUUCGGGUUGUAAAGCACUUUCAGCGGGGAGGAAGGCGAUGAGGUUAAUAACCUUGUCGAUUGACGUUACCCGCAGAAGAAGCACCGGCUAACUCCGUGCCAGCAGCCGCGGUAAUACGGAGGGUGCAAGCGUUAAUCGGAAUUACUGGGCGUAAAGCGCACGCAGGCGGUCUGUCAAGUCAGAUGUGAAAUCCCCGGGCUCAACCUGGGAACUGCAUUCGAAACUGGCAGGCUAGAGUCUUGUAGAGGGGGGUAGAAUUCCAGGUGUAGCGGUGAAAUGCGUAGAGAUCUGGAGGAAUACCGGUGGCGAAGGCGGCCCCCUGGACAAAGACUGACGCUCAGGUGCGAAAGCGUGGGGAGCAAACAGGAUUAGAUACCCUGGUAGUCCACGCCGUAAACGAUGUCGAUUUGGAGGUUGUGCAGCUUUGAGGCGUGGCUUCCGGAGCUAACGCGUUAAAUCGACCGCCUGGGGAGUACGGCCGCAAGGUUAAAACUCAAAUGAAUUGACGGGGGCCCGCACAAGCGGUGGAGCAUGUGGUUUAAUUCGAUGCAACGCGAAGAACCUUACCUGGUCUUGACAUCCACAGAACUUUCCAGAGAUGGAUUGGUGCCUUCGAGAACUGUGAGACAGGUGCUGCAUGGCUGUCGUCAGCUCGUGUUGUGAAAUGUUGGGUUAAGUCCCGCAACGAGCGCAACCCUUAUCCUUUGUUGCCAGCGGUUAGGCCGGGAACUCAAAGGAGACUGCC
This 1124-nucleotide ribosomal RNA is filed under the name Klebsiella pneumoniae. Its description in RNAcentral is "bacterial SSU rRNA". It matches the Rfam family "Bacterial small subunit ribosomal RNA", at positions 39 to 1153 of the family's 1533-position model. Lineage: Bacteria; Pseudomonadati; Pseudomonadota; Gammaproteobacteria; Enterobacterales; Enterobacteriaceae. The record is from RNAcentral.